UACGGGGGGGGCAAGCGUUGUUCGGAAUUACUGGGCGUAAAGGGUUCGUAGGUGGCCAACUAAGUCAUACGUGAAAUCCCUCAGCUUAACUGGGGAACUGCGUCUGAUACUGGAUAGCUUGAGUGCAGGAGAGGAACGCGGAAUUCCAGGUGUAGCGGUGAAAUGCGUAGAUAUCUGGAGGAACACCGGUGGCGAAGGCGGCGUUCUGGACUGCAACUGACACUGAGGAACGAAAGCCAGGGGAGCAAACGGG
This 253-nucleotide ribosomal RNA is filed under the name uncultured bacterium. RNAcentral describes it as "partial 16S ribosomal RNA". It matches the Rfam family "Bacterial small subunit ribosomal RNA", at positions 524 to 776 of the family's 1533-position model. The record is from RNAcentral.